Dendrobium catenatum is the source of this 805-nucleotide long non-coding RNA. RefSeq lists it as uncharacterized. Lineage: Eukaryota; Viridiplantae; Streptophyta; Magnoliopsida; Asparagales; Orchidaceae. The transcript is spliced from 2 exons. The record is from RefSeq and is a predicted model, not a curated record.
CGUUCAGAUUUCCGAUAGCUCUGUUGCACUCGCUGUAACUCCUUCGCGUGGCUCCUCCAGACCUCCAUUUCGGUCGCAGAGAGGUGGUGGCCGAUUCGGCACUUCUCGUGGUGGUCGAACGUCUGGUCCACGUAUUGAAUGUCAAAUUUGUGGCAAACCUGGGCAUUCUGCAGAAAAAUGCUGGCAUCGCACUAACCUCAGAUAUGUUAAACAAACUCCUACAGCAUUAGUUGCGGACUCAACUGAGAAUUAUAUUUCUGCAUUUCCUGGGCAGUCAUCGGAUUGGGUCUUGGAUACCGGAGCAACUUCACACAUCACUAAUGAUCCCAAUCAACUUCUCACAGCUCAUCCAUAUCAGGGUACUCAACAAAUCCAGGUCGGAAAUGGUCAGUCACUUCCGAUAGCUCAUACGGGUCAAGGAAUACUUCCCACCCCCAACCGACGGGAAAACCAACCGCUCGAUCCUCUCGGGUUUAUGCCGUGACGGACUUUAGUCCAUUCCAAAUCAUUCCAGUUCGUCUCCUCAAGCUUACAUUGCCACCGCCAGCUCUUCUACGUGGCAUUCAAGAUUGGGACAUCCUCAUCCUGCUGUGUUAUCUCGUAUAGCAUCUAGUUUUCCUUCUUUAAAGAUAUAUGUUACUAGCAAUGUCUGUCAUUCGUGUCAAACUGCUAAGUGUCAUAGGUUACCUUUUCUUAGUUCAAAUUCUCAAUGUACUUCUCCAUUUCAAGUUGUCGUCUCUGAUGUAUGGGGGCCUUCCCCAAUUUUCUCUCUUAAUGGAUAUCGCUAUUAUGUGUUAUUUGUGGA